RNAcentral lists this ribosomal RNA (274 nucleotides) under uncultured bacterium. RNAcentral's name for it is "partial 16S ribosomal RNA". It matches the Rfam family "Bacterial small subunit ribosomal RNA", at positions 523 to 796 of the family's 1533-position model. The record is from RNAcentral.
AUACGGAGGGUCCGAGCGUUAUCCGGAAUUAUUGGGUUUAAAGGGUCCGUAGGCGGGCAAUUAAGUCAGGGGUGAAAUGGUGCGGCUCAACCGUAGCACUGCCUUUGAUACUGGUUGUCUUGAGUUAUGGUGAAGUGGCCGGAAUAUGUAGUGUAGCGGUGAAAUGCAUAGAUAUUACAUAGAACACCGAUCGCGAAGGCAGGUCACUAACCAUAUACUGACGCUGAUGGACGAAAGCGUGGGGAGCGAACAGGAUUAGAAACCCUAGUAGUCC